Molecule: ribosomal RNA, 30 nt
Filed under: Langsdorffia heterotepala
Lineage: Eukaryota; Viridiplantae; Streptophyta; Magnoliopsida; Santalales; Balanophoraceae
Description: partial 26S ribosomal RNA
Source: RNAcentral
AAACCCCAAGUCAGGUGGGAUUACCCGCUG